CUUUUUUCCCAAUCCAUCCAUCGAUCCCACCGAACCCUUCCAGAUCAAGAGAGAGCUCGCCUCCCCACUUACAGAUCCCCGCCGCCAGCUCCCUCCAACGGAGCUCGCCACCGUCCAUGGCCUCCCCCACGCCCUCCUGCUCUCGCCCCUCCCCUUCCCUUCCCACAGCACACGGAACGCUCUCCUUCCUUGAUCCCCUUCCUUACCGAGAACAUGCGCCGCCACCUCGUUCUCCCUGAUCUGAAUCGACGAUGCUGGCUCUCACACCUCGUCGGCCCCGCUCGCCCAGACUACCCCUCCUCAGCCUCCCGUCCCCGGCGGCGCCCUCCUCUCUGCGCCCUCGCGUCCUCUCCCCUGCCCCGGCCCGCGCGAGGGUUGGCCUUGCCGACACGUAGGGCUCGGACGGCAAGGGCGAGGGGGAUGCUGGUGGGGCGGGAGGCCUCGUUGGGGAGGACUCGGUCGUGUUCCGGCUGGCCUACCAGUGGGUGGCGUCCUGGGCCUACUUCGCCAGGAUACUCUCCGUGGUGCUCUACAGGCUCAACGUGCUCUGGAUCGACCCUCCACCGGGGCUGGGACUGGGUUCCUCGCCGCCGUCGCCACUGUCUCUGACAGCCCCGAGGUUAUGAUCAUCGACUACGGGUUGAGCAUGGAAGAGGAGUGAGCACUUGCAUCGGAGGAAAUCCUAUUGACAGAACCUCGGCCUGUUGCUGAACUUCAAGUCGAGGCGGCACACAAGGCGCUGCUCUUCAAGUCGAGGGAGUCGCUGACCGUGAGGAACCUGCACUUGGAGCUCGUCUACAACUACUCUGGCUUGAAGCAUGUGGGUGUUCAGUCAUGGUUUUGAACCUGUCUGUCAGUUUCUUGCUGAUAACCCUGCUUGAAUUGUUUGAAUCUCGCCGAACAUGUCAGUUUGUUGCUAAUUGCAUGAGUUUGAGUACCACAAAUCUGAAGUUUUGAACUUUCUUACCCUGACGGUUGUAGUGUAAAAAGUGAAAAAAGUCAAAACCUAGCUGAAACUUUCUUGCUUUGGACAUCUAGUGUUAGCACUCUUAAGUAUGGAGCCUUGAGUCAAGAGCUUCUUGUAAUUGUAAUGACUAAAUAAUGGUUGUGUAUCUACUACUAUCGUAGAGGUGACUGAUUUUGUUCUGUACAUUAUAAUAGCACGUGGAGUCCUGUUUGUUUCA
This is a non-coding RNA of Triticum urartu, 1184 nucleotides long. The record is from RefSeq and is a predicted model, not a curated record. NCBI's taxonomy places the organism in Eukaryota, Viridiplantae, Streptophyta, Magnoliopsida, Poales, Poaceae.